Molecule: ribosomal RNA, 474 nt
Filed under: uncultured bacterium
Lineage: Bacteria
Description: bacterial SSU rRNA
Rfam family: Bacterial small subunit ribosomal RNA
Source: RNAcentral
GAUGAACGCUAGCGACAGGCCUAACACAUGCAAGUCGAGGGGCAGCACGAAGUAAGCUUGCUUACUUUGGUGGCGACCGGCGCACGGGUGCGUAACAGGUGUGCAAUCUGUCCAUAAUCGGGGAAUAGCCCAGCGAAAGUUGGAUUAAUACCUGAUGUUGUUAUUUAUUCGCAUGUUUGAAUAACGAAAGAUUUAUUGGUAUAGGAUGGCGAUGCGUGGCAUUAGCUAGAUGGCGGGGUAACGGCCCACCAUGGCGACGAUGUCUAGGGGUUCUGAGAGGAAGGUCCCCCACACUGGAACUGAGACACGGUCCAGACUCCUACGGGAGGCAGCAGUGAGGAAUAUUGGUCAAUGGUCUGACGACUGAACCAGCCAUGCCGCGUGAAGGUGACGGCCCUAUGGGUCUUAAACUUCUUUUGUAAGGGUAGCAAUAAGUCUCACGUGUGGGAUGAUGAGAGUACCUUACGAAUAAGC